RNAcentral lists this long non-coding RNA (711 nucleotides) under Carica papaya (papaya). RNAcentral describes it as "long non-coding RNA (CPAP_LNC001368)". Lineage: Eukaryota; Viridiplantae; Streptophyta; Magnoliopsida; Brassicales; Caricaceae. The record is from RNAcentral.
CAUCUCAUCCAGAUCUAUCUAGUGAUGUAGUUCCACAACAUUGGCAAUCUCCUCGUUUAGACCACUCAGAAAUCUAGCCAUGGUGGCUUCUGGGCUCUCGUAAACUCUAGCCUAAUCAUUGCCAUCUCCAUCUCCUUAUGGUAAUCUUCCACCGAAAGGGAUCCCUAGGUCAAUAUUUGGAGCUUUUGGUGCAAUUCUCUAUCAUACUAUGGGAUAAAUCUAUUUCUCAUAAUAAACUUCAUCUCUCUCCAAGUGGAUACAGGUUGGUCUCCAUCUCUUCUCCUAAGGGCAGUCACUUGAUCUCAUCAAACAAGUGCAUAAUCUGUGAACUUGAGUGCUGCUAGCUUUACUUUCUUAGCUUCACUAUAGUUGUGGCAGUCAAAAAUUAACUCUACCUUCUGUUCCCACUCAAGAUAGGUCUCUGCAUCAUUUCUUCCUCUAAACGGGGGUAUUUACAUGUUAAUGGAAUCUUCUCUCUGGAUUUCUCUUCUACCGACUUCACUAUUGUCGCCAUGUGACUCAUCAUCAUCCUGGCGGUGUUGGUGUUAGGGAUGACUACAAUUCCUUCCUCUAUCUCUCUCAUCCAUUCUUGUUGUUGUACCUUCAAUGGCUAAGUUCAGUCUGUUAUACAUGUCAUCCAUCCUAGCCUCCAUGUAUUCUUCCAAGGUCAUAGGUUAGUUGGUUUCACUAAGCUGUAAUAUAUCUGUAAAA